CUACUUCACCCAUUGAAUGAUCUCUCGAUUCUUUGAUUUAUUUUGGGCACUGUUGUGGUGGCUUUCCGUUCCCCGACCUCGGUUGCCUACUGAAAAGCCACCUCAGUGGAGCACCAAUGAAAUCAAUCGAUUAACGGAUUUUUUUAAAAAAGGAAAAUGGAUUAAUGGGAUCCGUAGGAUUCCAGCCGUGGAUCAAUAUUUUCGCCGGAAUAUAUGCAAUAACUUUUCACAGCAGCCACCAUAGC
RNAcentral lists this long non-coding RNA (245 nucleotides) under Elaeis guineensis (African oil palm). RNAcentral describes it as "long non-coding RNA (EGUI_LNC016562)". Lineage: Eukaryota; Viridiplantae; Streptophyta; Magnoliopsida; Arecales; Arecaceae. The record is from RNAcentral.